AGCAGCCGCGGUAAUUCCAGCUCCAAUAGCGUAUAUUAAAGUUGUUGCAGUUAAAAAGCCUCGUAGUUGAAUUUUGGAUUCUUCCAAUUGGUCCAUCUUUUAGAUGAGUACUGGUUGUGUGGGGUCUAUCCGCCUGGUGAUACGUAAUGUCCUUUAUUGGAUGUUUCGGGUAGUCAGGACCUUUACCUUGAAAAAAUUAGAGUGUUUAAAGCAGGCUUAUGCCGGAAUACAUUAGCAUGGAAUAAUAGAAUAGGACGAAGUUGUUUUAUUUUGUUGGUUUCUAGGACAACCGUAAUGAUUAAUAGGGAUAGUUGGGGGCAUUAGUAUUCAAUUGUCAGAGGUGAAAUUCUUGGAUUUAUUGAAGACUAACUACUGCGAAAGCAUUUGCCAAGGAUGUUUUCAUUAAUCAAGAACGAAAGUUAGGGGAUCGAAGACGAUCAGAUACCGUCGUAGUCUUAACCAUAAACUAUGCCGACUAGGGAUCGGGCGAUGUUGUUUCCAUGACUCGCUCGGCACCUUA
This 520-nucleotide unclassified non-coding RNA is filed under the name uncultured Archaeospora. Its description in RNAcentral is "SSU rRNA". It matches the Rfam family "Eukaryotic small subunit ribosomal RNA", at positions 569 to 1090 of the family's 1831-position model. The record is from RNAcentral. Lineage: Eukaryota; Fungi; Glomeromycota; Glomeromycetes; Archaeosporales; Archaeosporaceae.